RNAcentral lists this long non-coding RNA (3774 nucleotides) under Setaria italica (foxtail millet). Its description in RNAcentral is "long non-coding RNA (SITA_LNC004871)". Lineage: Eukaryota; Viridiplantae; Streptophyta; Magnoliopsida; Poales; Poaceae. The record is from RNAcentral.
UCAGAUGUGGCUGGGAUGUCACGGCCAGUGUCCCUAAAAGUGACCUGGUAGAACAACAGCACAAUUAGGAGCCUACAUGAUUAUGAUCUAUCCAGCACAGCAUAUAAUCAGAUUUCAAAAUUAUGUGAGGUAAAAACAGGCCAUUUUUUAAAAUUUGGCCAUGAACAACGGACAUAAUGUACUCCUUCGCCUACCAAAUAGAUAACAUUUUUUACUAUGGUGCAAGUAUGUUUUUUUGGCAAACUGGCAGGAGACCUGAUGUGGGACAAUUAAUUUUUAAAAUAAUAUGUUGCUAAAAAGAUAAAAUCAUACGAAUAUAAUUCUGAUGGAAAUCAACUAGUGUUUGUUUAGAAACAUUCACGAAGAGGAAUGCAUCAGUAACGACACUCCAAAAACUAAACCUGGUUCUGUCAAUGCUAGCUCCAAAAACAUCCAGGUACCCUACAAGGACUGCAGCAGCAUACUGUUGCAGCUAAUCAGUUUAAUAUUUAAUUAUUAUAAUUAUUAUUAUAGAUCUCACUUUUAACUGAAUAAAAAUGGUGCUUUUACAGGAGUAAGAUCCUCACAAACGCAUGCACUUUGGUCACUGCUACAGAGCUAACAUUUUAUAUAGCCAGUUCACUAAAGGGGUGUUUGGAUACACCCCCCUAAACUUUAGUACCUGUCACAUCGGAUGUUUGGAUACUAAUUAGGAGUAUUAAAUAUAGUCUAAUUACAAAACUAAUUGCACAAAUGGAGUCUAAUUCGCGAGACGAAUCUAUUAAGCCUAAUUAGUCCAUGAUUUGACAAUGUGGUGCUACAGUAACCAUUUGCUAAUGAUGCAUUAAUUAGGCUUAAUAGAUUCGUCUCGCGAAUUAUUAUAGGGGUUCUGCAGUUAGUUUUAUAAUUAGCUCAUGUUUAGUCCUUCUAAUUAGUGUCCGAACAUCCGAUGUGACCCUCCUAAAGUUGAGUACGUUGUAUCCAAACAGCCAUUAAAAAAAGCUCAGAUAUGUUGAAAACUAUGAAGACUAUCAGUGCCAAAAAUACAAACCUUCCUUGAUUUCAGCUUUGCCUCUAAAUCAGAACAUUUGGCCUGCAGAAAGAAAAAGGAAACAAUUACUACCACAAUCUCGUAUAUAAUGCCAUCAGUCUAGCAACAAUAAAAAGAUUUCAACAAACCUCUGCAAUGGCAGCCCUUGAUUCAGCAUCAGAAGCAGCUUUCAACGAGCUCUGCAGCCCCUUUCUCAUAUCCUCCACCUGUUUCAUACAGCUGUCAAACAUAUUUUUCUGAUCAAGGUUCAGAACACGGACAAGGUCUCCCUGCUCCUGAAGCUCCUUAAGCUCAGCCCAAUCCCUCUGCAGAUUGAUUCAGAUUGUGAAUAAUAAGAAAAAUGUAUAACCCAUGCUUGAACACAAGAUAAGUGGUCUUAAAUAUUUAACCCUCAAAAAAGAUAAACACAAAACAGAACAGUAGUGACAAAGCAGAUGGAAGAAUCAUGAAUCAAUCAUGCAUAUUCAAUAAUCUUUACUACUUCAAAAUCGGAAUUGGUGGUGGUGGAGGCUGGUGAUAGGUUGCACACUUGUGUUACCUCCACCUUGGAGGACCUUCUUUGGGAAAUUCUUUGUAUUCAUGUAACCAUGUGUAUGUAACAAAGAGGGUCUAUAUAUGGAAUUUGUGGAUUGAAGACUUAAAGUUCCAUAGCUAGAUAAAUGGGAGUUAGUAAAGAAUUACCUUUUUUCUGAACACUGUAAAGAAUUACUAGGUUAGUAGAUCUAAGACAUGUCAUUUAUUUCAAAAUCAUGGCAACCCACAGGUCGGUUUAGUGGCACCUAGUACAUGACUAUAGUUCCAAAUGCAUUAUUCUAAUUUGGGUGUGCAUCAGUCAUUAUUAUCAAGGUAGCUGGUUAUAAAUGAUUAGCAACAUAAAUGAGUAAUUCGGUUAAAUUGCUUAAACUUAAGUACCAAAUGAUCAUAUAAAACCAUAAGCAGUAAGAAUCUAUGAUCAGUAAAAAAAUUCUACCACGGAUGAACAAUGGGGGCCUUCCCUCAUUCUCCAGCCAUGAAAUAUGGUGCCUACGAAAAAUGGUUCACAUGGAUAUAAGUAAAGAAAAGUACCUGCCGUUCAUAAUUUUCUUCGGCGGAUCGCCAACGCUUGUACUGCUCAUCUAGUGCACUCUUUGAGGAAGCCAAUUCCAUUUCUAAUUUUUCUACCUGUGGUCUGUUAUAGAGGAACAAAGCAACAACAGAAAUGUCAACCAACUCUAGAAGUACAAUAGAGAAGUAUUUCUUGCCUAGUUUAGGGUAAACAGAUGCUUACAAUCUCUGAGAAACAUCUGUCCUUAGAACAGAAAUCUCAUUCACGAGAGAGGUGAUUUGCUUCUCUUUAGACUCAAUCGCACUGGCAGCUUCUUCACACUUUAUCAGAUAGCUCUUCUCCAUGUAAGAUAACUUAUCCCUCAAUUUAGCAAUCUCAUCUUCCAAGGCUUCCCUGCCAACCUCGGCCUACACAUGAAAACUACAAAAGUCAAUGUGCAUAUAAAUAAAGAUACAGAGGCUUCACUGUAACGUAUAUAAAAUGUUGAUACCUCUGCCUUGUAGUCCUGAUGGGCAGAUUCCAAUUGCUUUAACGCAACUUCAUUGGAGUCCGCAAUUUCUUUGUACUGUACAAGAGUUAAUGUUGGGUGAUUCAGAAGAGUCAGGAUUCAGGAGAUCAAUGCAUUGUAAACUGAUUGCAAAAUUGCACUGGGACUUCUCUUAUAACUUCUGGAUAAAUGAGCCUAUCAGAUUCUAAAUUCUGAAGAACAAAGCAAUCAGGUUGCUAACAGGAAAAACAAAAAGGAAAUGGAGAGUAUCAUUUUACCAUGAUUCCAAAGCAAAGUAAUAUGGUAAAAGGUGGUUUCAAGGUUUCCUUUACUUUCUCAGUGCAUAUAAACAUGUCUAAAUCUAGGUAAGUAUGAUCUUAUGAAAAUUAACGCAGUCAGAGAUAGGCACCUGAACCAUGUAGUUCCUAUUUGCUUGUGCUUCCUCCUUGUACUUUUCUAACUGCUCUUUCAACUGGAAUAGCUCAUCAUUCUCCUAUGGGAAAAAACACACCGUCAUGUAUCAAGCUAUCACCAAGUUCAUACAGAAUGAGCUUCAUACAGGAGAUAGGGUAGGGGUGAGAGCAUAUAACUUUCUCUGCAAUGAUUCAGGGAUGCUCGAAAAGAAAGUAUGAAAAGACAAGGAUAUUAAAAGUCAUUCAGAUGAAAACAUCAGUACCAUAGUCCUUAGCAAUAUCCCACACCAAAUACAAAUUUAGAUACAUGGUUAUUUGAGUACAGCAAAAAUUAACUCAUAGACGCAACAAAAAUAACUCACCUCAGAUGUGGCUGGGAUGUCACGGCCAGUGUCCCUAAAAGUGACCUGGUAGAACAACAGCACAAUUAGGAGCCUACAUGAUUAUGAUCUAUCCAGCACAGCAUAUAAUCAGAUUUCAAAAUUAUGUGAGGUAAAAACAGGCCAUUUUUUAAAAUUUGGCCAUGAACAACGGACAUAAUGUACUCCUUCGCCUACCAAAUAGAUAACAUUUUUUACUAUGGUGCAAGUAUGUUUUUUUGGCAAACUGGCAGGAGACCUGAUGUGGGACAAUUAAUUUUUAAAAUAAUAUGUUGCUAAAAAGAUAAAAUCAUACGAAUAUAAUUCUGAUGGAAAUCAACUAGUGUUUGUUUAGAAACAUUCACGAAGAGGAAUGCAUCAGUAACGACACUCCAAAAACUAAACCUGGUUCUGUCAAUGCUAGCUCCAAAAACAUCCAG